This 465-nucleotide ribosomal RNA is filed under the name Vreelandella stevensii. RNAcentral describes it as "partial 16S ribosomal RNA". It matches the Rfam family "Bacterial small subunit ribosomal RNA", at positions 338 to 795 of the family's 1533-position model. Lineage: Bacteria; Pseudomonadati; Pseudomonadota; Gammaproteobacteria; Oceanospirillales; Halomonadaceae. The record is from RNAcentral.
CCUACGGGCGGCAGCAGUGGGGAAUAUUGGACAAUGGGGGGAACCCUGAUCCAGCCAUGCCGCGUGUGUGAAGAAGGCCCUCGGGUUGUAAAGCACUUUCAGUGAGGAAGAACGCCUGGUGGUUAAUACCCAUCAGGAAAGACAUCACUCACAGAAGAAGCACCGGCUAACUCCGUGCCAGCAGCCGCGGUAAUACGGAGGGUGCGAGCGUUAAUCGGAAUUACUGGGCGUAAAGCGCGCGUAGGUGGCUUGAUAAGCCGGUUGUGAAAGCCCCGGGCUCAACCUGGGAACGGCAUCCGGAACUGUCAAGCUAGAGUGCAGGAGAGGAAGGUAGAAUUCCCGGUGUAGCGGUGAAAUGCGUAGAGAUCGGGAGGAAUACCAGUGGCGAAGGCGGACUUCUGGACUGACACUGACACUGAGGUGCGAAAGCGUGGGUAGCAAACAGGAUUAGAUACCCCGGUAGUC